Nannospalax galili (Upper Galilee mountains blind mole rat) is the source of this 849-nucleotide long non-coding RNA. RefSeq lists it as uncharacterized. The record is from RefSeq and is a predicted model, not a curated record. The transcript has 4 exons. Lineage: Eukaryota; Metazoa; Chordata; Mammalia; Rodentia; Spalacidae.
GGGUGAGACGCUUGACUCUCACUGAUCUGCAGCACCGAAGCCUUGCCCAGUACUGAGAAGAGGUGGAGGAUGGGGGUCCGACCUGUGCCACAGAGCCAGAGGAGAUGUCACCUUGGAAUUUGCAACAAAAGCUCUCACUGAGCAAAGACCCUGGGACUUUGUCAAGACUGUUCUCCUGAGCUGCUUGUACUGCCAGCUUCUGCUGGGGCCACUGACCACCGAAUGCUUGCUACCUCAGAGCUGGGCGUGCCUGCUAACACCGUACAGAGACAGCAAUGCCUUCCACCUGUGGGGCUACUGCCCACAGAUACUCUGCUUCUGGCUUCACAGGUUCCAGUUCUGGACUCUGAGGGCAUUGCACUCGCAUGCACAUAUCAACGUACGGACACACAUUUAUACACAAUAUAAAAUGAAUCUUUAAAAAAUAAAUGAAACAAAAAGAGUGGGAAGCUUCCUCAUGCAAGCAGAGUGUGAUUAGCCCGGGAGGCCACAGCUGGACAACGUGUGGAGAAUAGGAGACUGCAGAGUACAUGACCCUGUGUAGGACACCUGCAUCAAAGCUCUGCCUCCCAGGGCGUAGGGACCAUUGUGGACGCAGGGCCAGAAAGACUGUAAGAGCCAGGGGUGGUGGAUGAUCAUAGCGAACAGAGCUUUCCAGACUUUCCAGGUGGGAACUUGCUCAUACGAACUUACACAAUGGUGACAGCAGAAUAAACCUAUGCAGGCUCAAGCUGGACAAAAACCCAGCAUAGAAAUGGGAGAUGGGUGGGAAGCCUCAACCUGUGCUGAGAUGCUAUUGGCAACCCAUGGCUACUGGGAGAGGGAGACUUGGUUUUCUUUAAGGAAAUG